This 268-nucleotide ribosomal RNA is filed under the name Ramazzottius oberhaeuseri. Its description in RNAcentral is "partial 18S ribosomal RNA". It matches the Rfam family "Eukaryotic small subunit ribosomal RNA", at positions 120 to 385 of the family's 1831-position model. Lineage: Eukaryota; Metazoa; Tardigrada; Eutardigrada; Parachela; Ramazzottiidae. The record is from RNAcentral.
CUAGAUCGUACAGUUUACAUGGAUAACCGUGGUAAUUCUAGAGCUAAUACAUGCACAUCAGUCGGCUCUCUCGGGAGCCGAUGCAGUUAUUAGACUAAGACCAAUCCGGCCUUCGGGUCGGUAAACUUGGUGAUUCUGAAUAACCGAAGCGGAGCGUGUGGCCUCGUGCCGACGCCAGAUCUUUCAAGUGUCUGACUUAUCAGCUUGUAGCUAAGUUAUGUUCUUAACUAGGCCGUUACGGGUAACGGGGUGUCAGGGCCCGACACCG